AAAAAGUGGAACUACUGUGGAGCUGAUCACCUUAGGGAAUCACUGAUAGAUGGAAAUACAAAAAGUCUUUCUAAGGAUAAAAAAUAAAUUUAGGAAGAAUAGGGCACAGGAAUAUUGAAAGGAUAGUAGUUGAUAAUCUGAAGAGUUGCAGAAUUCUUGAUUAUGGAAGUGGAACAACUUCAAGUGAUGCUCUUGCAGACAUCACUGAAGGAAGAGCAAGCUUUGUGGAGAAGAGACCCACCAUUCCUUUCAAUGCCCACACCAAACACCAAACAACUUCUAUCAAUGAGUAAGUAAAUCCAAGAGUCCCAGGUGCAAUAGUAUCCCUCAAACCAUUGAUGCUGCUUUCAUCCUGGUACCAGAAGGAGUCUAUUAUCACCAUGUUAAAGGGCCCCUGAACUUGUCUUCUUCCAGGCAUACUGAAUCUCGAGUAUGCAAAAAGCCCCAAAUGUGUCAAAGAUCAAGCUCCUCCUGGACUGCAGUUUGUUGUUUGUACCUCAAGCUGGACUCUUUGUGUCCUUGGGAUUAACAGGUACCAUUCAGUCGGUACCAGACUGAGAAAUUAUGCAACUAAGGCCCUUGUAGACAAACAACAAUCAUAGCUUCAGUCUAGCAGUUCCCACUGAACACUGCAUUUCCAUCCUACUUUAUGAUGUCCCCCUUCCCUUUCUUUUGUCUUUCUCAUUCCCUUCCAGAGGGGAAUAAUCUUUUCCCUACUCCUAUUACUCUUUGCUUCCUCCCAUGUUAUUCCCAUUUGGGAGGGGGUUGCUAUCUACUCUUCCCAUUGCUGCAAUUUUAUAAAUAUAUUACCUUCUGUUUGGAUUGUGAAAUCCUUCAUCCUGUAGAGGAAUUACACAUAAAAAGUAAUUUCUCUUGAAAUAAAUCUAGUUGCAAUGAAUGUCUCAUGAACUUGAGUUAUUUUUUAAAUUUAUUUUUUUUGUUUUGUUUUUUUGGUUAAUAACCAUCACAACAAUAUGUGUUGGUAAGCUUAAGAGCCCUGGGAAUAACAGCAAUACCCACUUCUCACUUCCAGCAUGUCAAAAGAAAUGAUUUGACAUUAGAAACCUACAUGGUUUUAUUAAUAGAAAUGAUAUUAAUUAAGAAGCAUUACCACUUACUUUGAUGUUGUACCAUAAGGACCAAGGGACUUUUCAAUAUUACUUGUAGCUGAAGUCACCUGAUUUUACUCUUUCUAUUAGAACAUGAGCUCCAUGUUCUUCUGAAAAGAGGCUGUUUUGCUUCUCUCUUCAUAUCCCUGACAUUUACCAUGAUUUGUGCCCAUAUUAAGCAUUCAAUAGGCUCUUUUCAUUCAUUCAUUUUUCCAUUCAUUCAUCAGUAUGGAUAAGUCUUAAGAGAUUGUCUUUAAUAUAUGCCCCAAAAGAUAACAGAUCUCUCCUUAUUGUUUUCAAUCUGACAAAUAACUGCCUCAAUAUCCUCAAAGAAGGAAUCAACAUUAUAUUAAUACUUUUCUAUUCUGCCUCAAAACAUUAUUAGAUGAUUUCUCACUUGAUGUUUUUUGUGCUUCUGUUAUAUUAUUUUUGGAAGGACACUAAUUUCUCCCUCCUUUAUUACCUUAGCAAAGGUCAAAUCUCGCCCUUUCUAAAUCAAAUUCUUUUUUUAUUUCCUGUUAAAUCAUUGUUUCCUUUGGUAACUUCAUUUUGCUGAAUAAUCUGCAGUGUGGAGAAAUAUUCUUUAAAUUCUUUCUCCUCCUGGAAGAUCAGUCUAUACUUGGAACACAGAUCACAAUCACUUCACUAUGACAAAAGUACAAAAAAACUUAUACUCAGGGUAAGUUUCUGCACCAUUUUUCCUACUUUACAUAAUGGUCUAAAGAAAUCAAGUAAUUUGAUAUCUGGAUUCACUAUAAAUGAGUGAUUUCUAACUUUAUCCAUAUCCUCAUUGCAUUCUUACUGACUUUUAAUUAGAACUUAGCUUAUAACCCAGCAGAAAUCAGGGAGUUAUGAGGUUUAAAGAAUUCCCUGGUCUCAGUCUGAUGUACAUUUCUUAAAAGUGAUGUUAUCAACCUCUGAUAAAAAAUAUGGAAAACUUUUCAUUGCCUCUAGUGUUGGGCCUUCAUAAUGGGACUAGAUUAUUUUGCUUAAAAUAAAGCAAAGAGUCAGCAAGGAUAGGAAAGAUGUGUGGGGGUGGGGUAGGGGAUGUGUAUGUAUAUGUAGUAUCUACAUAAAUAUAUCUUUUCUUAACUAUAGUUUGCUUGGUGAUGAUAGGGGGAAAGUGGAGAAAAAAAUAAAGUUAAAAAAUUGCACAUCAGAAAACAAAAGAACAAUUUACAAGUAAGUAAAGAUGGAUAUUCAUAAAUAUAAUUUCUUCUACUAAAAUAUAUAUAGAGAGAUAGACAUAAAACACAACAAAUUACUAAUUUAGCAAAGUUAUUGAACUAGUAAUUUGUUGUUAUAUAUUUUGAAUCCUCCCUGCUGUUCUGUUGGACACAUGAUAGUAUUCUCUUUUGUUUUAUUUUAUUUUCCUUUGGUAUCCUUUUCUAUUUUUCUUAUUUUUUUUAAAUAAAAUAAAAUUUUAAAAUGGUCUCACAUAUAUUGCACAAUUAAAUGAAAUCAAAAUGUGGAUUCCAAAGUGUAAUGAUAAGCAUUUUUAUUAUAUAUAUAUGUAUGUGUGUGUGUAUGUGUGCGUGUGUGUGAGUGUGUGUGUGUAUACGUAUAUAUAUAUAUAUGUAUAAAACUGUUCAAAUUAUGAGGGAAAAGAAAAGCUGGUGAUAUUUAAUACAUUGCAGAGCUGAAGCAGUAUUCUUUCUGUUUUUCUUGAUGAUGUAGUGACACCCUCUGGUAACAUUCAUCUAUUACAAUAAUUUUCAACUGGUUUAGUUUAAUAUUGAUUGAUAUGUAUUCUUUAUAACAAACGAUCAGUUGUUAAGCAUCUAAAUAUAUUAUGACCAAGAGAAAAAUAUUACAAAAGAAAAGAGAAUCCAACUGGAAUUUCUAGUGACUAUAUUUUUCAAGAAAUUGGGACAUAGUUAAGAUAGCUGUUUAUUCCACUAUAUUUGCAUCUUCCAUAACAAUGAAUAAACUUAAUUCUUAAUAUCUUUAUGGAUAAUUUUUGGUAAACUAUCUAGACAAAUACUUCCAAUGUGUUAUAUCUAGAGCAGCCUCAGUGGAUAAUUUAAGGAGAAAUACAAACAACAUAUUGUUAGGGACUUUCCUUCUGAGAAUUACCAUGUAUGCUAGGUCAGAUGGUAGAGUGGACCCAGAAGGUAAAAAGGGGCUUGGCCUCUGAGGCAGGAGCUUGUGUCUUAUAGGUAUUUCCUUGAGAUAGCAAGGGGUGUGUCCUCUUGCUAGAUCUUUUCUUAGGAUGCAGCACUAACUCCAGGUCUCUCCCUUCUGGGGAUUCACCUACGCAGUGCUGAGUGGACUAGGCACAAGGUAAUCUCAGAGGAGACUAAUUAUAAAUGACCUGCUUUGAAUCCAUAGGCAAGAAGGAUGCAGAGAGAAGUAGAGAAAUUCAGGGAUGCAGAGAGAGAGCCGCAGAGACAUACAUACAUUUGUUCUUGCUUUCUGAUAACCCCUGCUGAGAUUACCAAUAAAGAAAGGCUGUUUGGCACCUUAACAUCAACUCGGCUUCAUGUCUACCCAGAUUGGUAGGUAUGGCCCUGGCAAUCAGUAGCCUCAGUAGGAAUUUACAAUGUAUGACAACAGAUUGAGUACAGAAGCAGAUGAAAAAAAUUCAGCUGUUUUCUAUCAAAUCAGACAGUAAAGAAUUUGCAAAAAUAUAUAAAAUAAUAUCACUUUUCUUACUUAUUUUUUAUUAUAGAUUUUUAUUUACAAAACAUAUGCAUGGGUAAUUUUUCAACAUUGAGAAGGCAUGUUAAAUAUGUUAAAGUAUAUGUUAAAUCCAAUAUAUGUAUCCAUGUUUAUACAGUUAUCUUGCUGCACAGAUCUAGAAAGAAAGAAAGAAAGAAAAACAGAGAAGGAAAACAAAAAUUCAAGCAAACCAUAACAAAAAGAAUGGAAAUGCUAUGUUAUGGUCCACACUUAUUUCCCAUAGUUCUCUCUCUGGGUGUAGCUGACUCUUUUUAUUAUUAAACAAUUGGAACUAGUUUGAAUCAUCUCAUUAUUGAAGAGAGUCACAUCCAUCAGAAUUGAUUUUCGUAUAAUUUUGUUGUUGCCAUGUAUGAUAAUCUUCUGGUCCUGCUCAUUUCACUCAGCAUCAGUUCAUGUAAGUCUCUCCAGGCCUUUCUGAAAUCAUCCUGCUGGUCAUUUUUUACAGAACAAUAAUAUUCCAUAAUAUUCAUAUACCACAAUUUAUUCAGCCAUUCUCCAAUUGAUGGCCAUCCAUUCAGUUUCCAGUUUCUAGUCACUACAAAGAGGGCUACCACAAACAUUUUGGCACAUACAGG
This is a long non-coding RNA of Sarcophilus harrisii (Tasmanian devil), 4366 nucleotides long. NCBI's taxonomy places the organism in Eukaryota, Metazoa, Chordata, Mammalia, Dasyuromorphia, Dasyuridae. The record is from Ensembl.